GAGGGGUGGGAUCCUGCAACCUCCUGUUGAUCACUUCCCUUACACGAGAGUCCAGACUCACCUAAAAGACAUAAAGACAGCAUUGUGAAUGCCAAGAAACAUAGUUAGGAUAAUAUUAAUUCAAAUGCUAAUGAAUAGGCUAGUCAUUUUAUGAUAAUGCUCAAGGUUAGGAAGGUCAAAAUGUAGAAUUAUGAUUAAUGACUUUUUAAAGCCUGGGAUAAACAGACUUUUGAAAGGUGCUUUUAAUCCUGAGUUGUGAAGGUCUGCUUCGAAUUUCAUAUGCUAGAAUCGGUUAACCAAUCAGAAACUGAACCACGCUUGCCUUUACUGAAAAUUGAUGCACUUUGUACAGUUGCAGAAUUGUUAACAAGCUGUUUAGUUUCAGCAGCUCAGGAAAACAAUAAAAAUGUUGUACAGUGACAUUUUGACCAACAAAUUUCAUUUCCACAAAAAAAUAUGAUGCAACAUAACCUAACAGCAACAUUGAUGAUAAUUAGAAAUGUUUCUUGAGCAGCAAACCAGCAUAUCAGAGUGAUUUCUGAAUGAUCAUGUGACACUUAAGACUGGGGUAAUGAUGCUGAAAAUUCAGCUUUGCAUCACAAGAAUAAAUUGCAUUUCUAAAAUAGAUUAAAAUAAAAAUCAGUUAUUUGAAAUUGUAACAAUAUUUCCACAAUAUUAGUGUUUUUAAUGUAUUUGCAAUCAAAUAAAUGCAACAUUGGUGAGCAGAAGAGAACAAGCAUAAAAGUAUCUCUUAAUAAAAAAAAAAAAAUUCUAAUCCCAGUUUUGAACGGCAAUGUACCUAAAAAAACAAUUCUUGGAUAUGUUUUCAAGUUUCAGUCCCAUGAAUCUCUUAAACUUUAUGAAGCCUGUACGCUAUUGGACGUGACUAUUGCGGACCUCUCUUUUACUUUCUUUCAUGACUCUAUAUAAGGAUUCCUUUCAUUCUCAUACCAGACACUCACAAGUGUACAAGUAUUGGAACUAGGAGCUGAGGUCAACAUAGAGCUCAUCCAUCUGAACUUACUGACUCCCACUUUCACUCUACGGCCCAAUUAUAUAACCGCUUUACAGUAGAGUCCGGCAGGGAUCAAUUUAUAGCUUCCUUUGCUCAACCUUUGCUCCUUUAUUUACUUCUAUAAAUUAUUUUUUCCUCAGCUGCCUCUUGCAAGUUGUGGAGUUUGAAGGUGUGAGUUCUGGCUCCGAGGAUGAAAAAGCCAAGAGGCACAUUCAGCAUGUCAACACAAUGAAUUAAACAGCAUACCAGCAGCACAUGUGCGCACAGAGAACACAAUGAUAGUGUGUACAAUACAUCCACACCCUGCUGUCUCACAUCGACAGGAGAUAAAACAUAAAAAAUCAUAAUAGAUAGCAGAAUCAACCGCCACAUAUGGUUCUAGAUGCCUGCAUCUCAGGAAAUGAGCCUUAUAAAACAUUAAGCUUCAAUCAUACAUUUGGCAGAAUUCCUUCACGCCUCGUUUCUUUGUCACACACAAAGUCUUAAAUGUUUACUUUCUUAACAUUUAGUGGUGUGAAGUUCAUGCCAAGCAUCCAAAUAAGUUUUUUUUUUAAGAUAAGGCCCCAGUCGCUUCUCAUUGGUGAGAAUGCAGCCAAUCACAGACCUGCACAUAGCCUGAAAUCUGCAUUCCACGGAGGAGAAACAAGACAGAGGUCCUCGCAGGCCAGCCAGAAGAGCAUGUUCUCCUCACUGUACUCCGUCCGCAGGAACUCACGGAACUUGUUCCGUCCUGCUGGGUUCUUCAUCAGCUUAUCGAAAGACUGCGCCCACUGUUUAAUAUCUUCUAUCGUCGGUUUGGGGCUGAGAGAGCGAGAGAGAGAGAGAGAGAGAGAGAGAGAGAGAGAGAGAGAGAGAGAGAGAGAGAGACAUUAGGUACGUUCACAUUCCUAACAAACAUAAUAGUUCAUGAUGACUUGGUUGAGAGAAACAGCUCAACCCUCAUGAUAAAAACAGUAUUCAAUGUAUGUGUGUGUUCUCACCAAGGUUCACAUGGAAAGGGCUCCAGCCUUGUCUCCUGGGCUUUCCUCUGCUCGCGCUUGUCAUCUUCACUCCUAACAGUGAGACUAGAAGGUGGUAAAAUGGCAUUGAGAAAUAACAGCAGUGCCUGAACAAAACAAAACAAUCUAGACACACACACAACAUUCUCACAUACAAUAUGAAAGGCCCUUCAACUUCAUGUUCAGGUCACCGUAGCCACCCAGAUCUAGUCCAUAUCCAGAUCAGAUGGUCAUUGCAGCCACCAGGAUCCAGCCCGUAUCCAGUCAAGAUGGUGGAUCAGCACCUAGAGGCGACCUCUAUAGCCCUGAAUGUCAUUGGAGACCAUGUCAACUAGAUGAGUCCCUGAGACAGAUCCCAUUUGAAGACCUUGUUGGCCAUUGGUACAAGGCCAGGAGAACCAGACGAGUCCUCUGCGCAAUCUGGCGUGCGUUGCAACCUGGAAUUAAACCACACAAUGCGGGUUUGGUCUGGCAAGGGGAGAAUUGGCCCCCCGACUGAGCCUGGUUUCUCUCAAAGUUUUUCUUCUCCAUUUCUAUUACUGAUGGAGUCUUGGUUCCUUGCCACUGUUGCUUUUGGCUUGCUAGCUUAGUUGGGGAACAGUUUUUUGGCAACAUUGUUGACUUGACUGCACAGUCACUAUUUGAAGAUAAUUGAAUUGAGCUGGACGGUGACAUCACUGAUUCAACAAUGAAUUGAGUUUAACUGAUAAACUGACUGCUUUCUAUUGUCCUCUUGCAUUAUCAGCACAGAUUUUUCCUGUCUAACAGUUUAAAGCUACUUUGACACAAUCUGUAUUGUAUAAAGUGCUAUAUAAAUAAAGGUCAAUGGACUUGACUAAAAAACUCCAAAAAAUCUGAAUCAGUUGGACAAUUCUGGUCAUGCUGUAUGGUUUUCAUUCACCAGAAAUCACCAGUUUAUAAAAGUCAUUCAUUUGGUAACUGUUUGGACUACAUUAGUUGCGCUGCAUGGCUUUGAAUCACUAAAAACAACUGUUCAUAAUUUGUUCACAAAUC
Carassius carassius (crucian carp) is the source of this 3027-nucleotide long non-coding RNA. RefSeq lists it as uncharacterized. The transcript has 4 exons. NCBI's taxonomy places the organism in Eukaryota, Metazoa, Chordata, Actinopteri, Cypriniformes, Cyprinidae. The record is from RefSeq and is a predicted model, not a curated record.